GGAAGGAUCAUUAACGAGCUAUUAAAAAAAGUGCUUUUACUGAUAUAGGUGCUCGCGCCCUAUUGACGUUCUAGUACGGGGUUUCGUCCCUAGUUUACCAUUUCAUUAUGAGACGUCGAAAAGCGGUAAGGCGCCUCUCUAAUAAGCGCAAAGACCGUCUCAUCUCGGUAAACGUCGUAUACCCAAGGGACGAGGCUAACAGUGGCGAAGCCUAGAUUCGGAAUGGAUCUCGUCGUGUAUACCAGUAAAGGUGCGCGCGAGGUACUGUAUACAGUCUUAGGUAAAGCGAAUCUCGUUAGAACGAGCCACGGUGAGCUCUAUGAGGCUUAAGUUCGUUUAUGUUUUAUAUUUACAUUAAUAAAGGCUCGUCGGGUAGUGGAGUUUGGAUACCUACCCGCGGUCUAGUAAAAGAAUGUAUAUAAAUCGUAUAUGAACGCCUCGUAGGCGCCCUAGUGCCUAGUAUUUCGAUUCGCGAUUCGUCGCUUUCUUAUCGAAAAAAACAGACGCUCGGGAUUAGAUUCGAGUCUAAUUCUUAUUCGGGUAUCUAUCGAGUACUAGCGAUACAGCUGACGUCUGGCUGUAGCGAAAAAAUCGUUAGUCUCGUGGAUCUUUCCUAAUACUCUAGUCCCCUAGUAUAUAUAUAAAGGGACUAUUAGGAGAGACAGAUUCAAAGAGUCAUCGGCGAGAUGAUCGAGUUAGUAUGAAUACUCGAUCUUCGAGCUACUAGCCAGUCUUAACAACUGGUUAGUUCUGAGCGAAGUAAUAGCGCUCAGGGUGACCGCCCGAAAUCAUUCAAAAUAAAGUUUAUUACUAGAAAUUAUAUACUUUACGAAUUAGUAAAGUUAUUCAAUAAAGAAUCCUAGAAAGAUUCCAUUCUAAGCGGUGGAUCACUAGGCUCGUGGGUCGAUGAAGAACGGGGCCAGCCCCGAGAAUCAGUGCGAAUUGCAGACACAAAGAACAUCGACGUUUCGAACGCAUAUUGCGGUAUCGGGCCAGCUCGAUACCACGCCUAUCUGAGGGUCGAAUAAAGAAUAUAAUAUUCUAGUCGUCUAAGGAAUAUAUAUAUAGACGAACUAAAAAUAUUAGACUUUAGACUAAUCUAUUACAGGAUGGUCGUUAAGUCUCAAGAUACUCGGAGUAAAUUAAUGCGAGUUAUCAAGUUUCUAGUAUAUAUAGAGAACGAGAGAACGGAGCGUAUUCGAAAAUAAUCAAAGUUAACUGGUAGUAAUAUCAGUCGGAAUUUACUUUGAAUUUUCGUUGUAAACGUAUAUACGCCUCGCAGUUCGAGUUCCAAUAUAUAUAUAUAUACAAGUAUUUCGCAUUUUGACCUCAGAUUAGACGUGAAAACCCGCUGAAUUUAAGCAUAUAAUUAGGCGGAGGAAAAGAAAUUAACGAAGAUUUCCUUAGUAACGGCGAGUGAAAAGGAAAUAGUUCAGCGCCGAAUCCCUUAGCCUAUGGUUAAGGGACCUGUGGCGUGAAGGAGAGCCUAUCUGUUGGGUUACGACUUCGGAAGAUCCCUCGAAUGGGGCUCCAAAGCAGGUGCGAGGCCUGUAACGAGGUGAUACCCAUCAGUUUGCGCCUCCGUAGAGUCGGGUUACUUGAGAGUGUAGCCCAAAGCGGAAGGUAAACCCCUUCUAAAACUAAAUAUUACCACGAGACCGAUAGCGAACAAGUACCGCGAGGGAAAGUUGAAAAGAACUUUGAAGAGAGAGUUCAAAAGGGCGUGAAACCGCUUAGAAGAAAACGGACGGAGCCGUCGGGAGCCUUCGGGAAUCAGUCUCGCGAUAGGCGAACGUGCGGCGAUUCGGAACGCAAGUCCGAUCGUUGUGCGGCUAGUAGCUUUCGCUUGGCGCAUUUCUCGAAGGUAAGCACCGCGACCGAUACGAAAGGCCGACGAAGCGUUCGGAUUGAGGGCGAGUCCUCUCACGGGGGCUCGUAACCAGUCCUUACGUCGUUUAGUCGUCGGACCGCAGUAUGUAUCGAUAGCCAAAGUUAUAUUAUAUACGCCGGCCGUAAAGCUCGCUCGAGUAACGGAUAGUUGGUCAAUAGUGUUGGUACUUGCUCGCAGGUGCUAAUCUAUUCGAUUCGGCUUUGAAGUUAUCGGCGACGUUUCGGCGUAUAGGCGUCGGCGGUGUCAGUGUCGGCCACCCAUCCGACCCGUCUUGAAACACGGACCAAGGAGUCUAACAUAUGCGCGAGCUAAUGGGUGGAAAACCCAAAAGCGUAAUAAAAGUAAACGCCGUUUCGGACGGCUAAGGUACGAUCCUAGUGUCCUUUGCGACAUUAGGCGCAGUACUGUCCCGUCCCGACCGCAUGUCGGUAGGGCGGAGAUAGAGUGCAUACGUUGGGACCCGAAAGAUGGUGAACUAUGCCUGAGCAGAGCGAAGCCAGAGGAAACUCUGGUGGAGGUUCGUAGCGGUUCUGACGUGCAAAUCGAUCGUCAGACUUGGGUAUAGGGGCGAAAGACUAAUCGAACCAUCUAGUAGCUGGUUCCCCC
This 2497-nucleotide unclassified non-coding RNA is filed under the name uncultured fungus. RNAcentral describes it as "sequence contains 18S rRNA gene, ITS1, 5.8S rRNA gene, ITS2, 28S rRNA gene". The stretch from base 1325 to 2497 matches the Rfam family "Eukaryotic large subunit ribosomal RNA", at positions 1 to 961 of the family's 3401-position model. Lineage: Eukaryota; Fungi. The record is from RNAcentral.